This is a long non-coding RNA of Astatotilapia calliptera (eastern happy), 2119 nucleotides long. Lineage: Eukaryota; Metazoa; Chordata; Actinopteri; Cichliformes; Cichlidae. The record is from Ensembl.
GUGGGGUACUGCUGAUCAAAGGGUCAUAUAACAUGAAAGCACAAAAGACCCCUCUGUUGGUCUUCCUUGGUCUCUUGUGUUCUGAGGGCCUCUGGAUGUCUGGAGUUUUGAUCUCCUCCAUACCUGCUUCAUGCCCUGGAUGACGGGGCUGUGGCCCCCCACACCCUCUAGCAGAUCAUUACAUGAAGGAACCUUUUAAAAAAAACAAGCGCAUCCAUGCUCACAGGUGUACACACGGGUGAUCACACCCACAAACUACACCCUUUUUGGCUCCUACCUCAAAGCACACUGUGUUCUGUUGAUCUUAUGUGCUGCACAAUAAUGUUUAACGUUUAGUAUUUACUGUCAUAUUCCCAUAUAUCAUUGUGAUGUUGUUUAUUCUAUUACUCUUGUUCUCUUCUGCUUGUUUUCUUUUUUCUUUCUCAACAGAUGAUCCAGGUGAUCGAUAUAUGCAUUUUUUUUUCUUUUUUCUUUUCUUUUUUUUUUCUUUUUCUGCCCAUUCUGUUGGUUUUUGUCUUUUGCCCUUCUCCCCCGUCCCUCUUCUCAGCUGUUUCUCUUUCCCUCUUUCUUUCUCCCCUUCUUUCCCCCAGUCAAGUCUGUCCCGUAUUCAGCAAGUGAAAAUAAAAUAAACAAUAAAAGGUGAAUCAAAUGGACCAUUAUGGCAAGGCUGGGAUGGUCCAUUUGGUAAAGUAAAUCCGUUGGGCAUCUUUCUUUGCCUUUAGACAAUAAUUCUGAUGGCAAAAGAGCCAAACAGGACAGGCAAAAAAAAAAAAAAAAAAAAAAAAAAAAGGAAAUACAUCCCUAUAAGUAUGUGACAGGUUAGAGGAGAGCUCUGUACCAGCGUGGAGUCACUGUGGGUAGAUGAAGAGCAUGUGUGCACAAACUGUUCAAACACAGCUACAGUGGGAAGGAGAAAACUACAAACAUGGUGGUCCUGGAUGUUCCCAGAGUGAUCACUGUGAUGAUGUCAUCUCCUUACAGCUCAAACGUGGCCUCCUGGUGAGUCGUGUUGAACCAAAGGAAGAUCAUGUUCUGGUGUCCUAAGAGGAGGUCAGAGAAGUCCACAGUGGGGACACCAGAUGAUGGACUACUCUCUUGCUCUUGACGAAGGCAGUCGCACUUUUCUCCUCCUCCUCCUCCCCCUUAGUCUCGUGUUUUUUGUAUUACUUUUCCCUGGAACACUCUCUCACAGUCUGUUCUCUAAAACCUAAAAGAGGAAUUAUGGAUUUGAUCAACUGGUCGCUGAAUGCAAUUGACACCCCUUUUCUCAACGAGAAGUCUGAGCUUGGGUGAGCCUGAGUGCUGAAGAUAUCUACCUAUUCGGAACCAUGAUAACAGGGUUCUUGCUGAUCGGAGCUGGCUUGGCCCUGGCUUAUCGAAGAAUUAAGGAAGCGGAACCGGCUGUUCAAACCCCCACAAGGCUGCACGCUGGGAUUGAAAUGAUGGGACGAGGCGUGAGUUUCUCAAAAUGGGCUCAUUGAGUGCAGCACGGAUAAGAUCUUGGAGAAGCUUAUGGCUGCCGUGAACAGUGUUGGUCAAGUUACUUGAAAAAAGUAAUCAGUAACUAAUUACCAGGGUUUUAAUAGUUUUGCAAUUUUCAUUAGUUUUUAUUUUUAUUUAGUUUUGACUUCAGAUUUUCAAUUUUAUAUCAGUUUUAAUUCGUUUUUACCAAUUGUUUGCUAGUUUAGUUUAGUUUUAAUUUUUUUUGAAAAUCCUUAGUUUCAGUUUAGUUUUGAUUAGUUUCAGUUAUAGUUUUAGUUUUGUUUGCAAUAAUUAAGUGCAACAAAAUCCCAGUUUCAUCAUAUCAGUCAUGCUCUUCUGCUUAUCCUUGGGUAUGUUGCUAUUCCAGCUACCAUACCCUGCACCCUGCACAGGUCGCCUGUCUGUCGCAGGGCUAACACGCAGAGACAGACAACUCACAUUCCCACCUAUGGGUUCUUUAAAUAAAUAAAUAAAUAAAGGCAGAUGAACAACCAUUGAUACCAGGCAACUAUAAAAUGUAUAUCUUGGCCCCAAUGAGACUAUUAACUCUUGCAGCACCGGGUGUUCGUAAUUUUGGUUCAAGUGAAUUGAUAAACUUUUUGAAGGCAAUUGACUCACACAGUUAUGUAGAUAUCCC